RNAcentral lists this long non-coding RNA (1124 nucleotides) under Anser cygnoides (Swan goose). Its description in RNAcentral is "lncRNA (ENSACDG00005000553.1)". Lineage: Eukaryota; Metazoa; Chordata; Aves; Anseriformes; Anatidae. The record is from RNAcentral.
GGCCACCCCUGCAGCCCACUGCUACGAAACCAAGUAAACCCAAUACAGAUGUUGGGGUCAGAGAGAGAAUUAUGGUCACCCAAUCCUUCUUUCUAACACAGCAGCAAGGUGAAUAAGGUCUAAAAGUGUGAGGUUAAAUUUUGAUCUGGAUUUUCAUUGAGAGGGGUGUGUCUGGGUCACACAGAUGUGAAGAGCUACCUGAGCACAUUGUCAGGAGAGUCAAAUGUGCUUUUUUGUCUUUUGAUGACUAUGUAAAUAAAUAUGCUUCAAUCUAUUACCUAGUAAGCAAUGCAGGCUUGUCAAAAUAUUUAGUAUAAUCUUUGGAAAUCUAACCUGUCAUUAAAAAAUAGAUCAUUAUUUUGUCAUUUAACUUUUUUUUGGAUAUAUCUUUUAGCAUGGCAUCCAGCAUGUUCCUCCAUAAACUGUUCCAAUAAUUAUCUUUUUUGAAAAAUGUUUCAUUUUUUUGUUGUUGUUGUAUAUUUUAUCUUGUUUUGAUCACUCACUCUACAUUUAUAUUAGAUUUUUAGCUAUGGCUACACAUUUUUUGCCACAUUCUCUCAUACCAAGGACAGAUUCUGAAAAGCUUUGUUCAGAGUUCCUAUGAUUGUUAUAAUGGGAAGCAUAAUCAAAUAAGACCUGUUUUCUGCCUGCUGUCAGAAACCUCACAAGUAUGGAUCUGCUUAUUCUACUAAAAUAAUAUCCAGAACUAAUCAAACAAUAUUUUCCAGAUGUGUUCUCAGUAUAUGCUGUGACCUCAGCUAUUUUAUUAUUUUAUUUUCUUUUAUUUGGCUAUACAAAAUGAAUCAAGAAUGUGAGACCACCUAGUCCAGAAAAAUCUAAGGAACCAUUGCAGUAUAACAAAUUGACCUCAAAACCUUGAGGCUGAAGUUAAAAUUCUAAGACAAUAAUCUUUACAAUCACUCCCUCAGUUCAUGUAUUUGUUUAUAUUCUAUAUUUAGUGCUGGUAAAGAUCACUAGGAAAAAAAAGUAAAAUUUUGAGGGAAAAAAAGUGUGAUAAUACUUCUUUUUCAACACAGAGUUGAAACAGUUAACAUUCCUUGACAUUUUGUAUCCACAUAAUUAUCCAGUACUAAUAUGAAAAUUUCAGGGUUAUCUUGGCCAUA